Molecule: long non-coding RNA, 5141 nt
Filed under: Malus domestica (apple)
Lineage: Eukaryota; Viridiplantae; Streptophyta; Magnoliopsida; Rosales; Rosaceae
Description: long non-coding RNA (MDOM_LNC005203)
Source: RNAcentral
AAUUGAAACUAAAUUGAGGAAAUGGAAAAAUUUUAAUUUUCACGAACUGAAGAAAGCCUACAACCAUGAAACCAACUUUCACUUUCUGAAUCUCACAAACAUAUAUUGUAGUGUUACAUAUUUUCUCUCUAAUACAAACAAAAAACUUGAAAGCAAACAUUUUUGGAUAGAUGCAUCUUCCCAGCAGGGCUUGCACCUCAUCAAAUUUUUGCUGCUCCAUAAACGAAUUAAUCAAAUGACAUGCAGUAUAUGGACUCUCACAGAAGUCAUGAAUAACAAAUGCAAAGAUAAAGAAAAGCCACACACUUUACAAGAGCAAAGAAAAUGAAGGGAUAAAGAAAGUAAGAAGGGAAUACCUUUGUGGGAGGACUCUUAUUUGCUUCUAGGGUCUUUCCACCACUUGCUUUAAGAUGAUUCUUAUAUGACAAUCCACCCUCAAGAACAACCAACAAUGGAUGCGGAAAGUAUACAAAUAUUCCUCAUGAAAAAUAAGUUCACAAGUAUUACAAAAUAAGUCCACCCUCCAUAAUAACUGACUGUGCUUUACUAAAUUGUUCAGACUCAUCACACUUUGCAUAAGGUUACAUGGCUAAUUGUUCAAGGUUCAGAUUUGGUGCAGAAAUAUUAUCAUCUUCAUUUUGAUUCCAGUAUUCAAACACAAAGAUCAGGGUACAUUUUGUAACAAACCAUAGAAAUUGACCAAAUGGAAUUAAUGCUAUUAACAGCGACCAUGGCUAAAAACUGUUGAAGACUAACUGACAUAAUCUCUAGCUUGAUGUCAGUGAGAAAAGACUCACUCAACUAACAUAGACUACAAUAUAUUCAUCAGAAGCCAACACAAAUAUAGUCGAAUUCAAAACACAAUCAGUCCAAAAUUACACUUACAAAGAGUUAAUUAAAAUCAGUACCUACAAGUUCCAGAUCUGCCAUCUCAAAGAUUCAUAUUCCUCACUUCGAGUUGUAAAAGUAACUUUUGGGUUGGGGAUAAUACAUUCAGCUCAUGGUCACCUGAAUCAAAGAAAUAUAUAAGUAUGCAUAUUAUUUAUGGUCAAAGUGAGUUGCUUAUUUUAAUCACAUACCUAGUAAAUAUUUGUUUAAGUUAGCAUAGACAGUACAACGAUAUUGCAUUUUCCAUGAUGAAACUUGUACUAACAUGAUUAAACAUUAGCACCUUAAGAACUUCACAUCUGAAUACAUUUUUUUUGUAUUUCACUUUUGGUUUCAUCUCUACCUGGAUCCAAUUACUAAAUCCUCUUCUUUCAAUGCUGCCACACCAUAAAAGAAAAGUAAAAAAUGAAUAAAUACUUAUUGGGGGAGGGGUGGAAUCAAGACAACUCCUAAUAAAUCAAUAAAAAAAAACUUACGCUUUUCCAAAAAUUGAAGAUCCAAAAUCCUAAAAUUCUAAGCAACAUGGCUCCGUAAAUAUAAUAAUAGAUAUGAAAUUUUUCCAUACAAAUACAGAAUACGAACCAGCAAUGGGGGCGUGACAAGGGCAGGGCCUUUGAGGUUACAAAGACAGAGAGAACAAGGCCCUAAACCGCUCCAAUAUGAGUUCGAUCGGGUUGACCAAACCAGUCACCGACAAACUUCACAGUAUGAAUUAACCAAAAAUCCAUCAUAUUCAUAUCCAAAAUUGCAUGCAGCGGGCAAGUUGAAAAAAAAUGUAAAAUAAAUUCAAAACUAAAAUCCAUAAACAACGAGGCGAGAUACAAAAUAUUAUGUUAGAUCUCACAAGACAUAAACUCAAAACGAAAAAACACGAACUCAAAUAUGAUGCAUGGGUGGUGUUGGUGUUUUUCAAAGAAAAAAAACAAAGGAAAAACCCAGAUAUGAGAGGAGUGAGAGAGAGAGGGAGGUAUAGAGAGACCCUAAUCCAAAAGCCCUAAUUCAGAGACCAUUUUCAAAAGUCCUAAUUCAGAACCCAUGUUCAAAAUCACUAACCGAAUUCAAAAUAAAACAAUAUCCAUGAACUUUGGUUGAGUUUAUUGCAUGAUAUUCUUACCUUAUAGAGUGAGGAGGAGUGAGGACUAAGACUGAGAGCUCGAUUCGGGCAAGGUGGUGUGGACAGUGGGUGGAAUCGCAAUUCAGGGGAUGAAUUCACGAAGUGAAGACUGAGAAUUGAGGACCGGUGUGGGUGGAGUCACGAUUCAGGCGACGAAUUUGGAUGAUCCCACUGAUGUGGGAGGAUAGAGGAAGACGGAGAGCUCGAUUUGGAUUUGGGCGAAGGAGGCGAAUUGUGUCACAGCCCGUCCCGGAGGUACUUUUGACGGGAAUGUGAAAUGACAGAAAUACCCUUGUCAUUUCUAAGGUGCGUAACGUUAUGUUGAUUUUAGCUUUGAUUAAUUGGGAGAAUUGCAUAUUAGUAAGUUGGAUUAUAUUAAAAAAUUAACUUGGUUGUUUUGAUUAGGAUGAAAAAUGGAUGGUGUGGAUUUGUUUAGACCACACACAAGACCCUCCCUGUUUCUCCUUCCCCGUGCCUUCCCUGUCUUCCUCUCCCUCACGAACUCACACCCUCACACACCCAUAUUGUACGGCAUUCACCCAAAACCCUUCAAAACUCGACGGAUCGAGGCAAAUAAGGUAUGUAUCUUCAUCGUUUUGACGUCCUGAGUUCAUUGGUACUAGUUUUAGGAAGUGAAACCUUCGAUUUCACGUAGAUCCCGAACCUCCAUUUUUGAGGUACUGUUCAUGCAGUCGUUAAAUGUCGCGUUUCAGGGAAUUUCAAGCUUGUGGCGAGCUUUAGGAGGUCCUAAGGAAGCUCGGGGACGUUCGUUGGAGAAUUUUGGACGCCGGGAUCGUAGGUUUCAAGUUUGGCCGAAUCUUUGGUUUUUGCUAGGUGAGAUUUCGUAGUUUUUAGGCCCUAAAACUAGUCCAACGUGAUAGUACACUCUUAGGGCUUCAAUUUGGUAUAAAAUACGAAGAAAAUGGGUGAAAAACGAAGGAGAACAGUGGGUUUGAAAAUCGGCCGGAGGUUGGCCGGAGUCCGGCCGUCGGAAAACCAGUCCGGCGAGGCCCUGCGAAGAAGACGACACGUGCGCUGCACGUGCUGCGCGUGGCCAGCGCGUGAAGCCGUGCCACGUGUGGCGCGUGGGGGCGCGUGGGGCUUCCAAAAAUUUUUCUAAAAAUAUCCCGACGCUCGUGACGUCGAGUAGGUCGAUAUGGUAUAUUCAUAUACCAAAAUUGAGCAUCGUAUGAGAAAUUAUUUCGAAUUAUUGGUGAUAUGUUUAAAAUUAACGUUUUUAUAGUUAUUUCGCAUAUAGGUGAGACGUAUCACGAGGACGACCGCAUCCAGGGACGCCACGGGGGUUACGACCCGUCGACUUAUCAGUGAGUGGGCAGUUUUGUUUUCGUAUUACCUUUAUACUAUCGAUUUUUCCCAGAAAAUGAAUUUAUACGAAAUUAUGUUCUAAAAAUGCCAUGCAUAGAAUUAAUUAAUAAAUAUGAAUUCCACAUGAGAUAUGAUUGAUAUAUGAUGCAUACAUGUUGCAUGGUGCCGUGGAGGCACAGGUAAGUCAGGUGAGUUCAUUUAUUCAUUGAAUGGUUGUUGUUGAGAUGUUUUAAGCUCAUAACCUGCACCCUAGGUGUUAGUGCUUAUUUUAUUCACCACACCGCACGCUCGCCUUGGAUCCAAGUAGGUGGAUGUCGUACAGACCAUGUGAGGGUUCCGACAUGCCAGUCGUACAGACCAUUAGAGGGGUUCCGACUGGUGGGUGACCUUAGAUAUGCGCGCUGAUGAUAUGAUGAGUGAAGCACUAGAGCGUAUUUUUACACCUUUCAUCGUAUAGACUACCUUACGUAGUUCCGAGUGAUGUGCAGAGUAGGGCCGUAUAGGUCACUGUGGUGACUCCGGCUUAGUGGGAUUUGAGCUAUUGAAUUAAUCGUAUAGGACCAACUGCAGGGUCUCCGAUUGAUUCCUUAUUUCACCUGAUUUAUAUUUUGAUUUAUGGCAUGGCAUGUUUUCUUGAAAAUGUUAAAGAUUUGGGAUUUAAGUUUUGAGAUUUUAUAUGGUUAUAUAUAUUUCUGGGAAAGUAUACAGGUUUUUACGGCGAGGGGAUAUAACUGUUUUAAUGAACUGUUUUGGAAAACUAAUUUGUUUUACUGACCCACUCAUUUUGUUUUGCGCCCCUCCAGGUUCUAGUUUAGCGGUGGUUGGCUCACGAGGUCUUUUCCGGCUUUCUGACAGACUUUCGACAUGUAGGACUCACCUGAGGGUGAUGUAUCUUAUUUUAGUCCUACUUGACUGCAGUUAACCUAUGCUCUGAACUUAUGUGUUUACCCUACGACUCGUCUGGUUAUGUUUAAGUUGGUUUGAAUUUCUGCUGUUUAAUAUUGUUUCCGCCUCCGUGUUGUGCUUAUGGUUACGUCACGCCUACGUGACGGCCAGCACACCUGGAUCCUCCGGAUCGGGGUGUGUCAAAUUGGGUGAGAGAGACAGUGAUAGUGAGGUGAGGUGAGAGUGAGGUUACUAGGGUUGUUUGUACCAUACUUAGGGUCUUCGUAUUUAGACCUCAUAUAAAUACUUAGGGGACUCAAAUGUAAUUAUGUAAUAAAUGAAGGGGCAAAUAUGUAAUAAGUGAGGAGCCCUUAUUCUACAAAAGGACCCCUUACUCUCCUCAUUGAAGGAGACCAAUUCUUAGGCCAUUGGAAGAGCUCUCUCACCCUCUCAUCCUCUCACAAACAGAGAAAUACAAUAUUAGUGUGGACGUAGCCCAAACAUUGGGGUGAACCACAAUAUAUCUUGUGUUAUUUACUUUCUUGCAGAUUCACGGUCGGAUUUACAUUGUUCCAAGACCUCCGGUUUUGUGCACCAACAUUUGGCGCCGUCUGUGGGAAUCGACACAAAAAACUAUAUCGGUUCUCUUUCAUUUUUUCACCUCCACCGUGAAUCUGUAAAAUCUGCAAAAACACUUAACAACCCAGAGCUUUUCCAGAAUACUUUCGCAUACCUCCAACCACCUCUUUCUCCUAUCUCAGUUAGUCACACAUGGAAGCCAAAACAAAAAAAAAAGAAACUUUCCCAUCUCUGUAACCAAACACAAAUCGAUGCUUUAAACCCGUGACCAAACACAAAGCUUCAUCCUCUCCAACAAGUCUACGUAGACCUUCAUAGCCGGCGACCUCGUUGGCUCCGCCAUCAUCUU